GGACGAAAGUCUGACCGAGCAACGCCGCGUGAGUGAAGAAGGUUUUCGGAUCGUAAAACUCUGUUGUUAGAGAAGAACAAGGAUGAGAGUAACUGUUCAUCCCUUGACGGUAUCUAACCAGAAAGCCACGGCUAACUACGUGCCAGCAGCCGCGGUAAUACGUAGGUGGCAAGCGUUGUCCGGAUUUAUUGGGCGUAAAGCGAGCGCAGGCGGUUUCUUAAGUCUGAUGUGAAAGCCCCCGGCUCAACCGGGGAGGGUCAUUGGAAACUGGGAGACUUGAGUGCAGAAGAGGAGAGUGGAAUUCCAUGUGUAGCGGUGAAAUGCGUAGAUAUAUGGAGGAACACCAGUGGCGAAGGCGGCUCUCUGGUCUGUAACUGACGCUGAGGCUCGAAAGCGUGGGGAGCAAACAGGAUUAGAUACCCUGGUAGUCCACGCCGUAAACGAUGAGUGCUAAGUGUUGGAGGGUUUCCGCCCUUCAGUGCUGCAGCUAACGCAUUAAGCACUCCGCCUGGGGAGUACGACCGCAAGGUUGAAACUCAAAGGAAUUGACGGGGGCCCGCACAAGCGGUGGAGCAUGUGGUUUAAUUCGAAGCAACGCGAAGAACCUUACCAGGUCUUGACAUCCUUUGACCACUCUAGAGAUAGAGCUUCCCCUUCGGGGGCAAAGUGACAGGUGGUGCAUGGUUGUCGUCAGCUCGUGUCGUGAGCUGUUGGGUUAAGUCCCGCAACGAGCGCAACCCUUAUUGUUAGUUGCCAUCAUUCAGUUGGGCACUCUAGCAAGACUGCCGGUGACAAACCGGAGGAAGGUGGGGAUGACGUCAAAUCAUCAUGCCCCUUAUGACCUGGGCUACACACGUGCUACAAUGGGAAGUACAACGAGUCGCGAAGUCGCGAGGCUAAGCUAAUCUCUUAAAGCUUCUCUCAGUUCGGAUUGUAGGCUGCAACUCGCCUACAUGAAGCCGGAAUCGCUAGUAAUCGCGGAUCAGCACGCCGCGGUGAAUACGUUCCCGGGCCUUGUACACACCGCCCGUCACACCACGAGAGUUUGUAACACCCGAAGUCGGUGAGGUAACCUUUUGGAGCCAGCCGCCUAAGGUGGGAUAGAUGAUUGGGGUGAAGUCGUAACAAGGUAGCCGUCG
RNAcentral lists this ribosomal RNA (1139 nucleotides) under Enterococcus durans. Its description in RNAcentral is "bacterial SSU rRNA". It matches the Rfam family "Bacterial small subunit ribosomal RNA", at positions 373 to 1505 of the family's 1533-position model. The record is from RNAcentral. Lineage: Bacteria; Bacillati; Bacillota; Bacilli; Lactobacillales; Enterococcaceae.